ACUUGUUUACAAAUGAAAUGUCCUUCAUAGAGGUUAUUCUCUCUAAAGCAAGGCUUCUUCGCACAUUAUCCAUAAGUCUUAGUCAUGGUGCGGAAUUGGCAAUGUCUAAUGAGGAUGGACUGAAGAAGUUACUAAACUACAAAAAAGCUUCAACUCAUGCUGAGGUUAUAUUUGCAGGUAAAGAAUCUUACCAGCGUUAUUGCAUACCAGCAUUGCAUUGAUACAUAAUAGCAUUGUUUAGGAAGUUUGACACCAUGCAAAUGACAGAGUAGCAGUGCCUACGUCGUUCCAACUUUACUAUUAUGUUUUCACUUAUGUAUUAUUCAAGGUAAGCAAAGAUAAUUUUGUGGCUAGAAGAGAGGGUGUUUAGUAGUUGGCAGGAAGAGAACAAUCACAUUCACAGGUGAAUGUGAAUGAGGCUCAAUGCAUUCAGGAACUUUUCCAUGCUCGUGUUUCAUCUUUUCUUUUCUUAACAAUUUUAAGCUACAUUAUAUUAGAUGGUUGUCAGUCUGCACGGCAUAUUUUGUUCCAUCUGCCUUAUGCCUGUUGGGAUGCGCUGCAUAAACGGUGUUCUUGUUGUGCUGGCAGGUUGUAAUGUUACUAGAUUAUUUU
RNAcentral lists this long non-coding RNA (612 nucleotides) under Triticum aestivum (bread wheat). RNAcentral's name for it is "long non-coding RNA (TAES_LNC009070)". The record is from RNAcentral. Lineage: Eukaryota; Viridiplantae; Streptophyta; Magnoliopsida; Poales; Poaceae.